GACGAACGCUGGCGGCGUGCCUAAUACAUGCAAGUCGAACGAGAGCAACCGGUGCUUGCACUGGUCAAUCUAGUGGCGAACGGGUGAGUAACACGUGGGUAACCUGCCCAUCAGAGGGGGAUAACAUCCGGAAACGGAUGCUAAAACCGCAUAGGUCUUCGAACCGCAUGGUUUGAAGAGGAAAAGAGGCGCAAGCUUCUGCUGAUGGAUGGACCCGCGGUGCAUUAGCUAGUUGGUGAGGUAACGGCUCACCAAGGCCGCGAUGCAUAGCCGACCUGAGAGGGUGAUCGGCCACAUUGGGACUGAGACACGGCCCAAACUCCUACGGGAGGCAGCAGUAGGGAAUCUUCCGCAAUGGACGCAAGUCUGACGGAGCAACGCCGCGUGAGUGAAGAAGGUUUUCGGAUCGUAAAACUCUGUUGUUAGAGAAGAACAAGUGCUAGAGUAACUGUUAGCGCCUUGACGGUAUCUAACCAGAAAGCCACGGCUAACUACGUG
Molecule: ribosomal RNA, 498 nt
Filed under: uncultured bacterium
Lineage: Bacteria
Description: partial 16S ribosomal RNA
Rfam family: Bacterial small subunit ribosomal RNA
Source: RNAcentral